RNAcentral lists this long non-coding RNA (829 nucleotides) under Arachis ipaensis. RNAcentral describes it as "long non-coding RNA (AIPA_LNC001002)". Lineage: Eukaryota; Viridiplantae; Streptophyta; Magnoliopsida; Fabales; Fabaceae. The record is from RNAcentral.
AACAACAAAAAAAUUAAGCAAUUAAUCCAAACUCAAUAAUUACACCACCGCCAACUCCGACUCAGACACAACAAACACAGCAAUUACACCACCACCAACUCCAACUCAGAACACAACAAACAGAAAAAAAUAGCAACUCAAGAAUCAAAUUUCAGAUUUUAGAUUUCAGUAACUCAGUAAAAUUAAUAAAAUAAGCAACCAUAAAUUGAAGCAAACAUAGAUUUCAACAGUGAUUACUCAUAAUUAUAAAUAUUAUUCGUUUAUUCCAUGCUCCAGAAUCAUUAAAAAACAAAAACUCAAGAUCAUAAAAUUAACAAAAGAAAAAAAAACUGAACAAGCAGAGCUACCGACAACGACGGAGGAACCAAACUGACAUUGAUGGAGGAAGAAAACAGGCAGCGAGGAAGGAACGAAACUCAACUGCCGGCGAGAGGAACGUCGAGAUAGAGACGAGGAUCGAGCAAACUGACCAGCAAUGGAGGAAUCAAACUGACGGCGACGAUGGCCCCCUCUGGCUAAGGGGAAGAGUUCGGCAAUGGCUGCUGGCUAUUGCUGCUGGCUCAGAGAGAGGGGUAGUGGUUUUCGGCGACUGGAGCAGGUGGCUGGUGAGAAAGGGAUUUAGGGUUGGGUUGGAGUCACACAUAGAGUCAGAGAGAAAGGGUGGGGUGGGGACGACAAGCUUGCACAGGCAAAGGGAAGGGGACGACGACGGAGAGGGGGAAUGCGGUGGCUGGGUAGGAGGAGAGCGAAGCUGGGAGAGUGGGAGACGGCUGGGAGAGGAAGAAUGAUUUCAGAAGGGAGUACGUGUUAGGGUUGGAUUUCGGGCUAG